RNAcentral lists this ribosomal RNA (793 nucleotides) under uncultured bacterium. RNAcentral's name for it is "bacterial SSU rRNA". It matches the Rfam family "Bacterial small subunit ribosomal RNA", at positions 8 to 796 of the family's 1533-position model. The record is from RNAcentral.
AGAGUUUGAUCAUGGCUCAGAUUGAACGCUGGCGGCAUGCUUUACACAUGCAAGUCGAGGGCAGCGCGGGGGCAACUCUGGCGGCGAGCGGCGAACGGGUGAGUAAUAGAUAGGAACGUAUCCGGGAGUGGGGGAUAACUAGCCGAAAGGUUAGCUAAUACCGCAUAUUCUCUGAGGAGGAAAGCGGGGGACUCGUAAGACCUCGCGCUCGCGGAGUGGCCUAUCUCCGAUUAGCUAGUUGGUGAGGUAAAGGCUCACCAAGGCGACGAUCGGUAGCUGGUCUGAGAGGAUGAUCAGCCACACUGGGACUGAGACACGGCCCAGACUCCUACGGGAGGCAGCAGUGGGGAAUUUUGGACAAUGGGGGCAACCCUGAUCCAGCCAUGCCGCGUGCGGGAAGAAGGCCUUCGGGUUGUAAACCGCUUUUAUUCGGAAAGAAGGAGUGGGGGUUAAUACCUCUCAUGACAGACGGUACCGGAUGAAUAAGCACCGGCUAACUACGUGCCAGCAGCCGCGGUAAUACGUAGGGUGCGAGCGUUAAUCGGAAUUACUGGGCGUAAAGCGUGCGCAGGCGGUUCUGAAAGUCAGCUGUGAAAGCCCCGGGCUUAACCUGGGAAUGGCGGUUGAAACUACAGGACUAGAAUCUGGCAGAGGGGGGUGGAAUUCCACGUGUAGCAGUGAAAUGCGUAGAGAUGUGGAGGAACACCGAUGGCGAAGGCAGCCCCCUGGGCUGAGAUUGACGCUCAGGCACGAAAGCGUGGGGAGCAAACAGGAUUAGAUACCCUAGUAGUCC